RNAcentral lists this ribosomal RNA (1244 nucleotides) under Candidatus Phytoplasma trifolii. RNAcentral describes it as "bacterial SSU rRNA". It matches the Rfam family "Bacterial small subunit ribosomal RNA", at positions 158 to 1398 of the family's 1533-position model. The record is from RNAcentral. Lineage: Bacteria; Bacillati; Mycoplasmatota; Mollicutes; Acholeplasmatales; Acholeplasmataceae.
GACUGCUAAGACUGGAUAGGAAACAAAAAGGCAUCUUUUUGUUUUUAAAAGACCUUCUUACGAAGGUAUGCUUAAAGAGGGGCUUGCGCCACAUUAGUUAGUUGGUAGGGUAAAAGCCUACCAAGACGAUGAUGUGUAGCUGGACUGAGAGGUUGAACAGCCACAUUGGGACUGAGACACGGCCCAAACUCCUACGGGAGGCAGCAGUAGGGAAUUUUCGGCAAUGGAGGAAACUCUGACCGAGCAACGCCGCGUGAACGAUGAAGUAUUUCGGUAUGUAAAGUUCUUUUAUUGAAGAAGAAAAAGUAGUGGAAAAACUAUAUUGACGUUAUUCAAUGAAUAAGCCCCGGCUAACUAUGUGCCAGCAGCCGCGGUAAGACAUAGGGGGCGAGCGUUAUCCGGAAUUAUUGGGCGUAAAGGGUGCGUAGGCUGUUAGAUAAGUCUAUAAUUUAAUUUCAGUGCUUAACGCUGUCUUGUUAUAGAAACUGUCUUGACUAGAGUGAGAUAGAGGCAAGCGGAAUUCCAUGUGUAGCGGUAAAAUGUGUAAAUAUAUGGAGGAACACCAGAAGCGUAGGCGGCUUGCUGGGUCUUUACUGACGCUGAGGCACGAAAGCGUGGGUAGCAAACAGGAUUAGAUACCCUGGUAGUCCACGCCGUAAACGAUGAGUACUAAGUGUCGGGGUAAAACUCGGUACUGAAGUUAACACAUUAAGUACUCCGCCUGAGUAGUACGUACGCAAGUAUGAAACUUAAAGGAAUUGACGGGACUCCGCACAAGCGGUGGAUCAUGUUGUUUAAUUCGAAGAUACACGAAAAAUCUUACCAGGUCUUGACAUACUCUGCAAAGCUAUAGAAAUAUAGUGGAGGUUAUCAGGGAUACAGGUGGUGCAUGGUUGUCGUCAGUUCGUGUCGUGAGAUGUUAGGUUAAGUCCUAAAACGAGCGCAACCCUUGUCGUUAAUUGCCAGCACGUAAUGGUGGGGACUUUAGCGAGACUGCCAAUUAAACAUUGGAGGAAGGUGAGGAUUACGUCAAAUCAUCAUGCCCCUUAUGAUCUGGGCUACAAACGUGAUACAAUGGCUGUGACAAAGAGUAGCUGAAACGCGAGUUUUUAGCCAAUCUCAAAAAAGCAGUCUCAGUUCGGAUUGAAGUCUGUAACUCGACUUCAUGAAGUUGGAAUCGCUAGUAAUCGCGAAUCAGCAUGUCGCGGUGAAUACGUUCUCGGGGUUUGUACACACCGCCCGUC